AAGCGGAGGAAAAGAAACCAACAGGGAUUGCCCUAGUAACGGCGAGCGAAGCGGCAACAGCUCAAAUUUGAAAUCUGGCUACUUUGUAGUCCGAGUUGUAAUUUGUAGAGGAUGCUUUUGGUGAGGUGCCUUCCGAGUUCCCUGGAACGGGACGCCAGAGAGGGUGAGAGCCCCGUACGGUUGGAUACCAAACCUUUGUAUAGCUCCUUCAACGAGUCGAGUAGUUUGGGAAUGCUGCUCUAAAUGGGAGGUAUAUCUCUUCUAAAGCUAAAUAUAGGCUAGAGACCGAUAGCGCACAAGUAGAGUGAUCGAAAGAUGAAAAGCACUUUGAAAAGAGAGUUAAACAGCACGUGAAAUUGUUGAAAGGGAAGCGCCUAUGACCAGACUUGUUUCUUUCAGUUUUGUUAGUUCUCGGACUGAUUUACUCUGUUAGUACAGGCCAGCAUCAGUUUGUUGUCGGGGAGAAAGGCUUAGGGAAUGUGGCUCCUUCGGGAGUGUUAUAGCCCUUUGCAUAAUACCCUUCGGCAGACUGAGGACCGCGCUUCGGCAAGGAUGCUGGCGUAAUGGUCAUCAGCGACCCGUCUUGAAACACGGACCAAGGAGUCAACCUUAUGUGCGAGUGUUUGGGUGUAAAACCCCAGCGCGUAAUGAACGUGAACGUAGGUGAGAGCUUCGGCGCAUCAUCGACCGAUUCUGAUGUUCUCGGAUGGAUUUGAGUAAGAGCACACAGGGUUGGACCCGAAAGAAGGUGAACUAUGCUUGUAUAGGGUGAAGCCAGAGGAAACUCUGGUGGAGGCUCGCAGCGGUUCUGACGUGCAAAUCGAUCGUCAAAUAUGAGCAUGGGGGCGAAAGACUAAUCGAACCUUCUAGUAGCUGGU
This 878-nucleotide ribosomal RNA is filed under the name Chalaropsis thielavioides. RNAcentral describes it as "partial large subunit ribosomal RNA". It matches the Rfam family "Eukaryotic large subunit ribosomal RNA", at positions 48 to 955 of the family's 3401-position model. The record is from RNAcentral. Lineage: Eukaryota; Fungi; Ascomycota; Sordariomycetes; Microascales; Ceratocystidaceae.